This 590-nucleotide long non-coding RNA is filed under the name Capsicum annuum. RNAcentral's name for it is "long non-coding RNA (CANN_LNC015695)". The record is from RNAcentral. Lineage: Eukaryota; Viridiplantae; Streptophyta; Magnoliopsida; Solanales; Solanaceae.
CUAUACAAACACAGCCAUCAAAAAUAGACUCUAGGUAAAAGGGGAGGGUUGAGUGAGAUGGAAGCACCUAAUCCACCUGAGAAGCAGAAUACAGUUCAAACAUGUGCGGGUCCAAGCAUCCCCUACCUCCAUCCCAGCCAUAUCUGUCAGUAAAUACGAAACAAUGGGAAUUUGUAGCAAAGGAAGUUUAAAAGAAAGCAGCAAACAAUACUUACUUGGAAAUGCAAGCUUCAGGGACCUAUCACCCUCAUUUCAACACUAAAAAAUAAGAACUAUUCCAUACACAAGAGAACUCAACUGACAACUACCACAAGAGUAGGAUUAAGGGUUGAAGCUAGAUCGAGGAAGAUGAACAAAUGGAAUCCAGUGCCAAAAAGGUUAAAUUACUUAAUUUUGAGAGCUGUUAAUAGAAGGAAUUUGCAAUCUCCAGGGAACAAUGUUGAUGAUUCACAGAGAAAGCCUCACAAAUUGUUGAUUCAGAGAUGGCGGAUCCAUUUUUCACUUGAAACUAAGCUGGAACAGCGUAGAAGAUAACAACAUCAUUUAGGAAACCCUACAAACAUUUAUAUAUGUCUGGAUAUAGUAGGAUU